Molecule: ribosomal RNA, 562 nt
Filed under: uncultured archaeon
Lineage: Archaea
Description: bacterial SSU rRNA
Rfam family: Archaeal small subunit ribosomal RNA
Source: RNAcentral
CGGGGUGCAGCAGGCGCGAAAACUUUACAAUGCUGGCAACAGCGAUAAGGGGACCUCGAGUGCCAGGUUACAAAUCUGGCUGUCGUGAUGCCUAAAAAGCAUUGCAUAGCAAGGGCCGGGCAAGACCGGUGCCAGCCGCCGCGGUAACACCGGCGGCUCGAGUGGUAACCGUUAUUAUUGGGUCUAAAGGGUCUGUAGCCGGCCGGAUAAGUCUCUUGGGAAAUCCAGCAGCUCAACUGUUGGGCUUUCAGGAGAUACUGUCUGGCUCGAGGCCGGGAGAGGUGAGAGGUACUUCAGGGGUAGGGGUGAAAUCUUGUAAUCCUUGAAGGACCACCAGUGGCGAAGGCGUCUCACCAGAACGGACCUGACGGCAAGGGACGAAAGCUAGGGGCACGAACCGGAUUAGAUACCCGGGUAGUCCCAGCCGUAAACGAUACUCGCUAGGUGUCGGCCACGGUGCGACCGUUGUCGGUGCCGUAGGGAAGCCGUGAAGCGAGCCACCUGGGAAGUACGGCCGCAAGGCUGAAACUUAAAGGAAUUGGCGGGGGAGCACAAGGGCGAA